RNAcentral lists this ribosomal RNA (259 nucleotides) under uncultured Eubacteriales bacterium. RNAcentral describes it as "uncultured Clostridiales bacterium partial 16S ribosomal RNA". It matches the Rfam family "Bacterial small subunit ribosomal RNA", at positions 80 to 339 of the family's 1533-position model. The record is from RNAcentral. Lineage: Bacteria; Bacillati; Bacillota; Clostridia; Eubacteriales.
UUGAAGCAGAGGACAGUGGCGGACGGGUGAGUAACGCGUGAGGAACCUGCCUUUCAGAGGGGGACAACAGUUGGAAACGACUGCUAAUACCGCAUGACACAUAGGUGUCGCAUGGCACUUAUGUCAAAGAUUUAUCGCUGAAAGAUGGCCUCGCGUCUGAUUAGCUAGUUGGUGAGGUAACGGCCCACCAAGGCGACGAUCAGUAGCCGGACUGAGAGGGUGAUCGGCCACAUUGGAACUGAGAGACGGUCCAGACUCC